CGGCGGCCAUGGCCCGGGGGAAACGCCCAGUCUCCAUUCCGAACCUGGAAGCUAAGGCCCGGCACGGCGAUGGUACUGCACUCGGCAGGGUGUGGGAGAGUAGCACGCCGCCGCUCU
RNAcentral lists this ribosomal RNA (117 nucleotides) under Pseudoscardovia radai. The record is from RNAcentral. Lineage: Bacteria; Bacillati; Actinomycetota; Actinomycetes; Bifidobacteriales; Bifidobacteriaceae.